This 476-nucleotide long non-coding RNA is filed under the name Homo sapiens (human). RNAcentral describes it as "HSALNT0379427". The record is from RNAcentral. Lineage: Eukaryota; Metazoa; Chordata; Mammalia; Primates; Hominidae.
GGCAACCCGCUCGGGUUCACUUCCGCACUGUAGAAGCUUUGUUCUUUCUCCCUUUGCAAUAAAUCUUGCUACUGCUCACUCUUUGGGUCCACACUGCUUUUAUGAGCUGUAACACUCACCGCGAAGAUUUGCAGCUUCACUCCUGAAGCCAGCAAGACCACGAGCCCACCGGGAGGAACGAACAACUCCAGACGUGCUGCCUUAGGAGCUGUAAUACUCACCGUGAAGGUCUGCAGCUUCACUCCUGAGCCAGUGAGACCACGAACCCAUCAGAAGGAAGAAACUCUGAACACAACCGAACAUCAGAAGGAACAAACUCCAGACGCGCCACCUUAAGAGUUGUAACACUCACUGCGAGGGUCCGCGGCUUCAUUCUUGAAGUCAGUGAGACCAAGAACCCACCAAUUCCUGACACGAUACACCAGCACUUCUCAGCCUGUUUCUUACCUACUGCAUAAAUUCUCCAUUCCAGUCUA